This 371-nucleotide ribosomal RNA is filed under the name uncultured bacterium. RNAcentral describes it as "bacterial SSU rRNA". It matches the Rfam family "Bacterial small subunit ribosomal RNA", at positions 527 to 896 of the family's 1533-position model. The record is from RNAcentral.
AGAGGGUGCAAACGUUGUUCGGAAUUACUGGGCGUAAAGCGUGUGUAGGCGGUCUUGUAAGUCGGGUGUGAAAGCCCCGGGCUCAACCCGGGAAGUGCACUCGAAACUGCGAGGCUAGAGUACUGGAGAGGUUGGUGGAAUUCUCGGUGUAGAGGUGAAAUUCGUAGAUAUCGAGAGGAACACCGGUGGCGAAGGCGGCCAACUGGACAGAUACUGACGCUGAGACACGAAAGCGUGGGGAGCAAACAGGAUUAGAUACCCUGGUAGUCCACGCCGUAAACGAUGGGUGCUAGGUGUCGCGGGCUUUGACUCCUGCGGUGCCGUAGCUAACGCAUUAAGCACCCCGCCUGGGAAGUACGGCCGCAAGGCUA